AUGAAGAGACUGGCAGCUCUGCUGGGGCUUCUGUGGGUCCAGCUGUGCUGGGUGAGGGGGUUGCAGGUUCAGCAGAGUCCUUCAGCCCUGCGUGUCCAGGAGGGAGCCAGCUGUACCCUGAGGUGCAAUUUUUCUGACACUGUGACAAACUUGCAGUGGUUCCGACAGAAUCCUGGGAGCGGCCUCGUCAAUCUGUUCUUCAUAGCUUCAGGGACAAAACAGAACGGAAGGCUGAAGGCAACAAUCAAUUCUCAGGAGCGCUACAGCACCCUCCACGUCAUGACCUCCCAACUGGAAGACUCAGGCACCUACCUCUGUGCAGCAGAGACACAGUGCUCCCAGGGCGCCUGCUGCCUGGACCCAAACUGCAGCUGGGCCUGCAGCUGUAACCCCACCCAUUUCACAGAGUGGCACGUGGCUUCUGCAUAA
Molecule: non-coding RNA, 429 nt
Organism: Lepus europaeus (European hare)
Lineage: Eukaryota; Metazoa; Chordata; Mammalia; Lagomorpha; Leporidae
Source: the annotation of a RefSeq genome assembly